AUAGACAUGCAGUCGAGCGAGAUUUUCGUUGUAGCAUACGAUGGAAAGUCUAGCGGCGAACGGGUGCUUACACGUGGGCAACCUGCCGUGAAGUGGGGAUAGCUCGCCGAAAGGCGAAUUAAUACCGAUGUGAUUAGAGAGGACAUCCUUUCGAAAUUAAAGUCGGGGCAACCUGACGCUUCUUGUGGGGCCCGCGGCCUAUCAGCUAUUGGUGAGGUAAUGGUCACCAAGGCUUUGACGGGUAGCUGGUCUGAAGGACGACCACCACACUGGGACUGAGACCACGGCCAGACACCUACGGGUGGCAGCAGUCGAGAAUUUUUGACAAUGGGGGAAACCCUGAUCGAGCGACGCCGCGUGGAGGAUGAAGGUCUUCGGAUUGUAACUCCUGUCAUUGGGGAACAAGGUGCAUACGUUACUUGGUGUGUAUUGAUAGUACCCGAAGAGGAAGGGACGGCUAACUCUGUGCCA
This 471-nucleotide ribosomal RNA is filed under the name uncultured bacterium. RNAcentral describes it as "bacterial SSU rRNA". It matches the Rfam family "Bacterial small subunit ribosomal RNA", at positions 49 to 510 of the family's 1533-position model. The record is from RNAcentral.